This 228-nucleotide ribosomal RNA is filed under the name uncultured bacterium. Its description in RNAcentral is "partial 16S ribosomal RNA". It matches the Rfam family "Bacterial small subunit ribosomal RNA", at positions 118 to 351 of the family's 1533-position model. The record is from RNAcentral.
UAGGAAUAUGCCUUAAAGAGGGGAUAACUUGGGGAAACUCAAGCUAGUACCGCAUAAUUUCUUCGGAAAAAGCUAGGGACCUUCGGGCCUGGCGCUUUAAGAUUAGCCUACGUCCGAUUAGCUAGUUGGUAGGGUAAAGGCCUACCAAGGCGACGAUCGGUAGCGGGUCUGAGAGGAUGACCAGCCACACUGGAACUGAGACACGGUCCAGACUCCUACGGGAGGCAG